GACGAACGCUUGCGGCGUGCUUAACACAUGCAAGUCGAACGGAAAGGCCCUGCUUUUGUGGGGUGCUCGAGUGGCGAACGGGUGAGUAACACGUGAGUAACCUGCCCUUGACUUUGGGAUAACUUCAGGAAACUGGGGCUAGUACCGGAUAGGAGCUCCUGCUGCAUGGUGGGGGUUGGAAAGUUUCGGCGGUUGGGGAUGGACUCGCGGCUUAUCAGCUUGUUGGUGGGGUAGUGGCUUACCAAGGCUUUGACGGGUAGCCGGCCUGAGAGGGUGACCGGCCACAUUGGGACUGAGAUACGGCCCAGACUCCUACGGGAGGCAGCAGUGGGGAAUAUUGCACAAUGGGCGGAAGCCUGAUGCAGCAACGCCGCGUGCGGGAUGACGGCCUUCGGGUUGUAAACCGCUUUCGCCUGUGACGAAGCGUGAGUGACGGUAAUGGGUAAAGAAGCACCGGCUAACUACGUGCCAGCAGCCGCGGUGAUACGUAAGGUGCGAGCGUUGUCCGGAUUUAUUGGGCGUAAGGGCUCGUAGGUGGUUGAUCGCGUCGGAAGUGUAAUCUUGGGGCUUAACCCUGAGCGUGCUUUCGAUACGGGUUGACUUGAGGAAGGUAGGGGAGAAUGGAAUUCCUGGUGGAGCGGUGGAAUGCGCAGAUAUCAGGAGGAACACCAGUGGCGAAGGCGGUUCUCUGGGCCUUUCCUGACGCUGAGGAGCGAAAGCGUGGGGAGCGAACAGGCUUAGAUACCCUGGUAGUCCACGCUGUAAACGGUGGGUACUAGGUGUGGGGUCCAUUCCACGGGUUCCGUGCCGUAGCUAACGCUUUAAGUACCUCGCCUGGGGAGUACGGCCGCAAGGCUAAAACUCAAAGGAAUUGACGGGGCCCCGCACAAGCGGCGGAGCAUGCGGAUUAAUUCGAUGCAACGCGUAGAACCUUACCUGGGUUUGACAUGGAUCGGGAGUGCUCAGAGAUGGGUGUGCCUCUUUUGGGGUCGGUUCACAGGUGGUGCAUGGCUGUCGUCAGCUCGUGUCGUGAGAUGUUGGGUUAAGUCCCGCAACGAGCGCAACCCUUGUUCACUGUUGCCAGCACGUUAUGGUGGGGACUCAGUGGAGACCGCCGGGGUCAACUCGGAGGAAGGUGGGGAUGACGUCAAGCCAUCAUGCCCCUUAUGUCCAGGGCUUCACGCAUGCUACAAUGGCUGGUACAGAGAGUGGCGAGCCUGUGAGGGUGAGCGAAUCUCGGAAAGCCGGUCUCAGUUCGGAUUGGGGUCUGCAACUCGACCUCAUGAAGUCGGAGUCGCUAGUAAUCGCAGAUCAGCAACGCUGCGGUGAAUACGUUCCCGGGGCU
This 1345-nucleotide ribosomal RNA is filed under the name uncultured bacterium. RNAcentral describes it as "partial 16S ribosomal RNA". It matches the Rfam family "Bacterial small subunit ribosomal RNA", at positions 28 to 1381 of the family's 1533-position model. The record is from RNAcentral.